RNAcentral lists this long non-coding RNA (1011 nucleotides) under Mus musculus (house mouse). Its description in RNAcentral is "long non-coding RNA chr18:49964074-49965085". The record is from RNAcentral. Lineage: Eukaryota; Metazoa; Chordata; Mammalia; Rodentia; Muridae.
AAAAGGCUUUAAACACUUUCCAUAAGAAAGAAAAUUUACUAUCGUGUUUAUUAAAAUCAAAAUGCUUCAGGGAUGAUCUAUUGAGCAUUUUAAUUGAGAGUUUAUAUGAAUAACAACAUUAUGUAAGUCCAUAUGUAUUUACAUCCAGAGUCAUAUUUUAAAUAAACAAUCAUGCAGUGAUUUUUUUCGCAUGCUUUUGUUUUAAGAAAUACUUCUGCCAGUUUAGUUGAUUUUAAUUAUGUGACUUUUAAAUUCAGAAUUUCUAUAUGUGAUGAUUGAAGAGAUAAUUUAAUUUCCUCAAAUACCUUCUUGUUAUUUUCUACAAUAUUUUUUACUUAAUGGGUGCUCAUUAAAUAAUUGAAAUGUGUAUAGAAAAUAAUACAAAUACACUUAAAUUUUCAUUAUCCACACAAAUGAAAUGGUCACAUCACAAUUAACUUACAUGCUCUGUUUUCAUAGAGUCAUGUUACAGAGAUUUAUAACAUGGCAGGUCUCAUGUUCUAAAAUACUGGAUUUCUCUUACCACCGUGAAACACUGCUUACUUGAUUUUCCUUUGGUCCCACAGUUUGCUUUUAGCUAAGAUAGAACAUUUGCUGUUGUGCUUACCAGAACUUUAAAGGGAUUGGUGUAAACCAAGUCAGCAGGUCACCCUUACAGACAUUCUUUAGUUAAAAAUGAGGUUUGCUUGUUUUUUAAAACAGCAAAAAUGUUCAAGUGGAUCUCAUUGACUGAAACAAUAUAAUUAGACAUUUCAGAAAAUGCUUAUACAGCCUGAAAGUGGCAAUGGUAUGAUUAAAAGGCUAGAAACCUAGGCAAACAUACGUUACAAAACAAGAAAUUUAAAUAUCUUAUGAGAAAGAACCACAGCCAGUUAAAAACCAAGUCAACUACAAGAAAUAUUUGUGGAGAGGUGUGUUAGUGACUCUGUAUGUGGUAUAACUUUUAUGUUAUUAGAGAAAGUCAAACUGAAUAACAGGGCAGCACAUUAAAAGUUAAUAAAAUAUUAAAUG